NNNNNNNNNNNNNNNNNNNNNNNNNNNNNNNNNNNNNNNNNNNNNNNNNNNNNNNNNNNNGCCCCUCGCCCACGGGGCCCCGAGCGGCCUAAUUCCGGCCCUCUCGCCAUGGCCUCGGCUCACCGGGGGCUUGGGGGUCCCAGGUGAUUGGGGAGCAGCGGCACCGGUGGGUGCUGCGGGCCCUGUGCCGGGGUGCAGCGGUGCUGGGGGCGAGCCUGGCCCCCCCACAGAGCGCGGUGCAGCGCAGCACGGCACGGCACGGCACGGCGCGGCAUGGCCUGGCGCAGGGCGAGCACUCACGGGAGGUGUCUGCGGCGCGGCGGGAGGCAAGCCGGGACACGGGGUGCCGCCUCGCGCCGCGCCGCUGGGGUGACAUCACGGCGCCCGGGGCCGGCAGAUGCUGGCGAUAAAGUGGGGGGGUCCCCGGGGUGCAGGGUGCGCCGGGAACGGCGCUUCCCAGCGAGCCCAGGCGUCCGGCGCUCCCCAAACCCACGCGGCCUCCCCAGAGCUGGACGCUGGCCCCAGGCAUCCCGCCUCCCUCCCCCUGGCCGUGCCCGAACCCCGCAGCGAGCCCAGGCGUCCAGGCUGCCCUCUGCCCCCGCCCGGCCCCGGCACACCUGGCGCUGGGGCGGGCGCUGAGCCCCGUCCUGCCGGUACGGAGCGAUGGCGCAGCGCCGGCACGGCUCCUUUGCUGCGGUGCCUGCCGGGGGCAGGGAGCAGGGGGGUCGCCGUGKGCACGGCCAGGCGCGAGGGCUGCGCGGGGGCUGCGUGUGCCAGGCCUGGCAGAGCCCUGUGUGCACGCAGGCACCAGCUGGGCUCGCACCAGGGCGCCGCGCGGCGGCAGCUCCCCCGGGCGCGCGGGGGCCCCCGAGACGCCCCGGCCCAGCGAGCAGGGCAGACGCCCCAGCGGGGCCUGCGCAGCCGGGGCAAAUAUUUGCCUUCGGUCAUAAAGCCCUGCGCYGCGCGGGGUGACCCUGACCCGGGGGGGGGUGCCGCGGCGGGACGCUCCGGUGCAGCGAGGCUCCCCCACCUCGCGGUGCCGCGGGUCGGGCCUGGCGCCUUCGCAGGGUGCGUCCGGAAACACCCAUGGUGGGYGAAACCCGCGCCGCUUCCCCGGCCGGCCCGGCACACCCGUGGCCCCGCAGCACCCUUAACGCCUGGCACGACACGGCCCCGGGGCCGCRUGGUGCUGACGGCAGCUGCCGCCGCGCCAGGCUCUGCUGCAGGCGCCAGGGCGAGGGCUCGCGGGGGCCGGGGCACACGGUGGGGGCCGGUGCGGCUGUGCACGGCCACGGGGUGCAUGCGGGCGAGCGUGCAGCAGCGGGRCACACGCUCACCCCCUGCCUCCACCGCCCCGGCUCCAGCCUGCGCCAGCACCCGCAGCCCUGCCCUGCCGACGGCCCCCGGGUGCUUUCCGCUUUCCUGCCCCGCACGGGGGGCAAUUAUGUGCCCGGGGAGCAGCCCCCCCCCUCCCCCGGCCGGCUCCCGCGGCCCCGGYGCUGGCUGCUGGCGAGACGGUGCUGGCGCGGCUCUGCCAGACGCCGGGUGGGCGACGGCGCUGCCGGUGUGUCCCUGGCAGGAGCCGGGAACACGGCGUCUGCCGGCGAGCGCAGGCAGCCGCCGCGCCGCGGGGGUGGACCCAGCCCCACCGCCUGGCACCCGGCACCUGCGAGGGCUGCGCCACCCGUGGGCGCCCCCAGCCCCGCUGGCCCUGGGCGUCCCGGGGGGCCCUGGCACUCGGACAGCUCCGAGCCCGGGUGCAGAAGCCUUGCGAGGGGCCGGGGCCGCGCGUGGCCCCUCCGUGGCUCCCCACGCGGGGGACGUGGCCCUGCUCCGGCACGGCGCCGCGCGGCUCCUGCACGAGGGGCGGCGGCGGCGGGGUGGCCAGGGCGGGCGCUGCCGGCGCAGGGCCGGGAUCCUGGAAUUAAAAACAUUCCAGGAACUGACUUUGAACCAGAUAAAACAACAAGCGCCGCAAGGAAUGUCUCACCCCACCCCCCGGGCGGCCGGCGGCCUCCGUCCCGUCGCAGCCCAGCCCCACGCCGCCCCCAGCCGCCCCCGCGCCCCCGCCUGCGUGCAAACCGUGCGGCCCGGGGGCCCCUGCACGCGGGCAUCGGCUGCGCGUGCAUGCAGCCAGGGUGCACAUGCACAYGGGUGCGCGCC
This 2163-nucleotide long non-coding RNA is filed under the name Apteryx haastii (Great spotted kiwi). RNAcentral describes it as "lncRNA (ENSAHAG00000000800.1)". Lineage: Eukaryota; Metazoa; Chordata; Aves; Apterygiformes; Apterygidae. The record is from RNAcentral.